RNAcentral lists this ribosomal RNA (119 nucleotides) under Olea europaea subsp. europaea. The record is from RNAcentral. Lineage: Eukaryota; Viridiplantae; Streptophyta; Magnoliopsida; Lamiales; Oleaceae.
UGGUGCGACCAUACCAAUACUAACGCAUCGAAUCCCAUCAGAUCUCCGAAGUUAAGUGUGCUCGGGCGAGAGUAGUACUAGGAUGGGUGAACCCCUGGGACGUCCUCGUGUUGCACCCC